Molecule: ribosomal RNA, 253 nt
Filed under: uncultured bacterium
Lineage: Bacteria
Description: partial 16S ribosomal RNA
Rfam family: Bacterial small subunit ribosomal RNA
Source: RNAcentral
UACAGAGGGUGCAAGCGUUGUUCGGAAUCAUUGGGCGUAAAGGGCGUGUAGGCGGUAUGUUAAGUCAUGUGUGAAAUCCCCCGGCUUAACCUGGGAACUGCGUCUGAUACUGGGAGGCUUGAGUAUGGGAGAGGGAUGUAGAAUUCCAGGUGUAGCGGUGAAAUGCGUAGAUAUCUGGAGGAAUACCGGUGGCGAAGGCGGCAUCCUGGACCAUUACUGACGCUGAGGCGCGAAAGCUAGGGGAGCAAACGGG